GAUGAAGAACGCAGCGAAAUGCGAUAGGUAAUGUGAAUUGCAGAAUUCAGUGAAUCAUCGAAUCUUUGAACGCACAUUGCGCCCGCCAGUAUUCUGGCGGGCAUGCCUGUUCGAGCGUCAUUUCAACCAUCAAGCCCCCGGCUUGUGUUGGGGACCUGCGGCUGCCGCAGGCCCUGAAAUGCAGUGGCGGGCUCGCUGUCACUCCGAGCGUAGUAGUUACAUCUCGCUCUGGGCGUGCUGCGGGUUCCGGCCGUUAAAAGCCUUAUUUACCCAAGGUUGACCUCGGAUCAGGUAGGAAGACCCGCUGAACUUAAGCAUAUCAAUAAGCGGAGGA
RNAcentral lists this unclassified non-coding RNA (334 nucleotides) under soil metagenome. RNAcentral's name for it is "partial contains 5.8S ribosomal RNA, internal transcribed spacer 2, and large subunit ribosomal RNA". The stretch from base 1 to 120 matches the Rfam family "5.8S ribosomal RNA", at positions 35 to 154 of the family's 154-position model. The record is from RNAcentral.